This 74-nucleotide transfer RNA is filed under the name Staphylococcus argenteus. RNAcentral's name for it is "tRNA-Glu". It matches the Rfam family "tRNA". From Rfam's summary of the family: Transfer RNA (tRNA) molecules are approximately 80 nucleotides in length. Their secondary structure includes four short double-helical elements and three loops (D, anti-codon, and T loops). Lineage: Bacteria; Bacillati; Bacillota; Bacilli; Caryophanales; Staphylococcaceae. The record is from RNAcentral.
UGGCUCCUUGGUCAAGCGGUUAAGACACCGCCCUUUCACGGCGGUAACACGGGUUCGAGUCCCGUAGGAUUGAG